UACGUAGGUGACCAGCGUUGUCCGGAUUUACUGGGCGUAAAGAGCGCGCAGGCGGUCGUUCAAGUCGAGUGUGAAAGCCCCCGGCUCAACUGGGGAGGGUCACUCGAUACUGAUCGACUUGAAGGCAGGAGAGGGAAGCGGAAUCCCCGGUGUAGUGGUGAAAUGCGUAGAUAUCGGGAGGAACACCAGUGGCGAAGGCGGGUUGCUGGGCUGACACUGACGCUGAGGCGCGAAAGCCAGGGGAGCAAACGGG
Molecule: ribosomal RNA, 253 nt
Filed under: uncultured bacterium
Lineage: Bacteria
Description: partial 16S ribosomal RNA
Rfam family: Bacterial small subunit ribosomal RNA
Source: RNAcentral